Suricata suricatta (meerkat) is the source of this 794-nucleotide long non-coding RNA. RefSeq lists it as uncharacterized. NCBI's taxonomy places the organism in Eukaryota, Metazoa, Chordata, Mammalia, Carnivora, Herpestidae. The record is from RefSeq and is a predicted model, not a curated record. The transcript is spliced from 2 exons.
CAACAACAUCCAGAAGCACAAAAGUACUAUUCCUUCUCAGAUGCCUCUUACAUUACAAAACAGAGCAUGAGGACACCUACAUUAUGCUACAAAAUACAAUGAAAAACACCAAUACUUCACAAACUGUUCCAAAGAAAAGAAGAGGAAACCCUUCCAAACUUUUUUCAUGAGGGCCGGGCUGUGGUUCGCUGACCCCUGAUCUGGCGUCUCUGUAACACAGAGCGGACGGUGGGUGUACGCUUUUGCUCCAGAACGACCCCAGCACAGGAGAUACAAGGUGGUACCUACUCGGCGUGAACCCUGACGUCCUGUGUCCUUUCCUUAUGAGGACGCGCACAUACACAUCUGGCACGGGGAGGAAGGUGUACUUCCAGUAGGUAAUGUGGCUUUAAAAAGCCUCCAAACCGGGUCACGUCCGCUGUGCAGUAUCCCUAAGAGAAAACACAGAGAGACUGUCUGGGCAGUGCGCAGGACGCCCACGCAUCACCGUCACGCACGACGCUUCUGCGCACGUCCUCCGUUUGAUGGCCGGUUCUACUUUGCUGGCUCGAUGACACCCUGCGUUGGAAAGCAUGUCGCUCACAAACGAGACCAAGUGACGCGGGGCACUGCGCGUUGGCGGACGGCUGCCACCGUCCUUCGGCCUAUUUUCAACCAGAAGCAUAAACAGCCUAGUAGAAACAGACAUGAAACGCGAGGCCUGAAGUCAUAAUUCACUGUAGAGCAACCUGCAGGCCAACGCAGGUUUAUUAGACGGCUAAUAAAAAUAAAUCAUGGACGUGUUUUGAAAAUGA